Molecule: ribosomal RNA, 465 nt
Filed under: uncultured bacterium
Lineage: Bacteria
Description: bacterial SSU rRNA
Rfam family: Bacterial small subunit ribosomal RNA
Source: RNAcentral
ACUCCUACGGGAGGCAGCAGUAGGGAAUAUUGGUCAAUGGGUGAGAGCCUGAACCAGCCAUGCCGCGUGCAGGAAGACGGCCUUCUGGGUUGUAAACUGCUUUUACCAGGGGAUAAAACGACUCUGCGGAGUUAAUUGAAGGUACCUGGAGAAUAAGCACCGGCUAACUACGUGCCAGCAGCCGCGGUAAUACGUAGGGUGCAAGCGUUGUCCGGAAUCAUUGGGCGUAAAGCGCGUGUAGGCGGUUCAGUAAGUCUGCUGUGAAAGUCCAGGGCUCAACCCUGGGAUGCCGGUGGAUACUGCUGAACUAGAGUCUGGAAGGGGCGAGUGGAAUUCCUGGUGUAGCGGUGGAAUGCGCAGAUAUCAGGAGGAACACCUAUGGCGAAGGCAGCUCGCUGGGACAGUACUGACGCUGAGACGCGAAAGCGUGGGAGCAAACAGGAUUAGAUACCCUGGUAGCCUCUG